GGCUAUUAGGUCUAUAUGGUAGAGCUCGGGCAUGGUACUCGAUCGAUAGCCUUGAACAUAUAUGCCGUCGCGUACAGCAGCUAGCAUAUCCCACGAGUGUCGCUAAUAGGCGAGAAGGCAGAGUAGUCACGGUAUAGGCUGGCAGCGCAUGUGGGUGUUGGCUACAACCGGUUCCCUCGGAUGUUUAGUGUUGUGUAGAAAAGACGCUUGAUCGCUCCGCUGAAACGUUCAUACUAUCCAAAAUAGGAACACCAUCCCAACGCUGAAUAAUCGGUGUACAGAAUCCUCGGCAUUUUAUUACAUAAUUCCUUAUCAAACCCGAUAAAACAAUGCAUUGUGGUUUCGUGCUUGCGCUCAUGCUUGCUGGGCUCGCCGUCGGCGAUGCUCUAAAGUGCUACAGUUGCCAGUGGGGGAA
Long non-coding RNA from Priapulus caudatus, 415 nucleotides. RefSeq lists it as uncharacterized. The record is from RefSeq and is a predicted model, not a curated record. NCBI's taxonomy places the organism in Eukaryota, Metazoa, Priapulida, Priapulimorpha, Priapulimorphida, Priapulidae. The transcript has 2 exons.